Molecule: ribosomal RNA, 377 nt
Filed under: Flavobacterium sp.
Lineage: Bacteria; Pseudomonadati; Bacteroidota; Flavobacteriia; Flavobacteriales; Flavobacteriaceae
Description: bacterial SSU rRNA
Rfam family: Bacterial small subunit ribosomal RNA
Source: RNAcentral
GUAGCAUUACGAUGGUACUAGCUGUUGGGCGCAGUUCAGUGGCUAAGCGAAGUGAUAAGUAUCCCACCUGGGGAGUACGUUCGCAAGAAUGAAACUCAAAGGAAUUGACGGGGGCCCGCACAAGCGGUGGAGCAUGUGGUUUAAUUCGAUGAUACGCGAGGAACCUUACCAAGGCUUAAAUGUAGAUUGACCGGUUUGGAAACAGACUUUUCGCAAGACAAUUUACAAGGUGCUGCAUGGUUGUCGUCAGCUCGUGCCGUGAGGUGUCAGGUUAAGUCCUAUAACGAGCGCAACCCCUGUUGUUAGUUGCCAGCGAGUCAUGUCGGGAACUCUAACAAGACUGCCAGUGCAAACUGUGAGGAAGGGGGGAUGACGUA